GAAGAACGUAGCGAAAUGCGAUACUUGGUGUGAAUUGCAGAAUCCCGUGAACCAUCGAGUCUUUGAACGCAAGUUGCGCCCGAAGCCUUUAGGUCGAGGGCACGCCUGCCUGGGCGUCACGCAUCGCGUCUCCCCCCACCCACCUUCAGUGGGAGGGGCGGAGGAUGAUGGCCUCCCAUGCCUCACCGGGUGUGGAUGGCCUAAAUACGGAGCCCCCGGUUAUGAAGUGCCGCGGCAUAGGUGAGAUACAAGGCCUAGCCUAGGAUACAUCGGAGUCGUGCACUUUUUAGCUUUUGAGGACUCGCAGGACCCUAAGUUUGUUUGCCCAUUGGGGCAUCAAAACCGUUGCGACCCCAGGUCAGGCGGGGCUACCCGCUGAGGG
This 382-nucleotide ribosomal RNA is filed under the name embryophyte environmental sample. RNAcentral describes it as "eukaryotic LSU rRNA". The stretch from base 1 to 119 matches the Rfam family "5.8S ribosomal RNA", at positions 38 to 154 of the family's 154-position model. Lineage: Eukaryota; Viridiplantae; Streptophyta. The record is from RNAcentral.